CACCCCCACUAACUGUAAUAGAAACGAAGACCUAGAAUUAUCUCCAAAUCGAUAUUUCCGCCAACACCUGAAACAUCGCCCCGUAUUCAUUUCACAAAGGGUAUGUAAGUUUCUCCAUUGCUAUCGAUGAAGGCAGAUACGAAUAUACAACCAUAGAAGAAAUUUGAACUAAAGAGAAACUUAUGUUGAUUAAUAUCCGAUGUAGAACUCAGAGAAUGAAGAAACGAAACAUUGGGGGUUGAAGACGGAAAAAUGUUCGAAAUGACGUUGUCUUUGAAGAUGUUAGUGAAAACUAAAGUGGUAGUAAGGAAUAUCUCGAAAUACUUUAAGACUUAAGACAUAACUAGGUUUACUAGAGUGGACCAUUCUUGCUAUCAUCAAAAGGGAUAAUAUGGUAACCGAAUUUGCACCAAAUUCAGCAGACGAAGUUUAGGGAUACAAAUUUGAUUACAGAUUUGAUAUCGAUUCAUCAAUUGGGUGGGAAAAAAUAGAUAGAAUUGUUGGAGAGAAUGCCACAUGACAGAAGCCUGGUUUAAAAAAUGGACAUGUGGCAUGUAGAAGAUGUUUUUAUUAAGAAUGAAGAUUUUUCCGGUUUUGAUCACACCUAAAAUCAAAUUUCAACGAUGGAAGAAGAAUUUGUGAUUUAGUACUAAAUUGGGCCAAAUCUAAGUCAUAGCCAUUUGAAAGGCUAUAUGUAGAUUUCCAUCACCAAAAUGAAUAAAAAAAGAGAUAACGAAUCUCCAUGAUGCAAAACCUUGCAAAAACAAAACUUAUGUGGGGGUUGUCGUAGUGUCGUUGACCAGCACUAAGCUCGUAGUCGAAUGAGGACAACCCUGCACCCAACUCCCACACUUCAUACCAAACCCAAAUCGGCUCAUAACCUCAUCCAAAAAAUCUCAUCUAACCGAGUCGCAGGCUUUAGCAAAAUCUACCUUCAAAAUAAUCACUUUCUUCGUUUUGACCUUACACCUAGACACCACCUCAUUUAGGAUGAAUGACCCAUUUAAAAUCUGUCUAUCCUUCACAAUAGUCGAUUGUUCUGUACUUACUAAAGUCACCCAUCACCAUACUCAACCAAUUUGCUAAAAUUUUAUAUUUGGAAGAGUCAUCUUCUAUGUGGCUAUUGAUUAAGAAGAGAAUACAGAGUUUGAAACAACAAACAAACUAAAACAUACAAAC
Molecule: long non-coding RNA, 1179 nt
Organism: Lactuca sativa (garden lettuce)
Lineage: Eukaryota; Viridiplantae; Streptophyta; Magnoliopsida; Asterales; Asteraceae
Source: RefSeq, a predicted model, not a curated record